GGUAGAAGUUUCGAGUCCCUGGCGUCACGGAGUGAACGCUGGCGGCGUGCUUAACACAUGCAAGUCGAGCGAAGUCGCUUUGUUUUGAAUCUUCGGAGGAAGAACGAAGUGACUGAGCGGCGGACGGGUGAGUAACGCGUGGGCAACCUGCCUCAUACAGGGGGAUAACAGUUAGAAAUGACUGCUAAUACCGCAUAAGACCACGGUACUGCAUGGUACAGUGGUAAAAACUCCGGUGGUAUGAGAUGGGCCCGCGUCUGAUUAGCUAGUUGGUGAGGUAACGGCUCACCAAGGCAACGAUCAGUAGCCGACCUGAGAGGGUGACCGGCCACAUUGGGACCGAGACACGGCCCAAACUCCUACGGGAGGCAGCAGUGGGGAAUAUUGCACAAUGGGGGAAACCCUGAUGCAGCGACGCCGCGUGAGCGAUGAAGUAUUUCGGUAUGUAAAGCUCUAUCAGCAGGGAAGAAAAUGACGGUACCUGACUAAGAAGCCCCGGCUAACUACGUG
This 510-nucleotide ribosomal RNA is filed under the name uncultured Lachnospiraceae bacterium. RNAcentral's name for it is "bacterial SSU rRNA". It matches the Rfam family "Bacterial small subunit ribosomal RNA", at positions 1 to 507 of the family's 1533-position model. Lineage: Bacteria; Bacillati; Bacillota; Clostridia; Lachnospirales; Lachnospiraceae. The record is from RNAcentral.